AUUAAAUCUAUUUUUUUUUUAAGGGAAGGGGGAUUUGGCUCUUGUUUCAUGUUAGAAAUGCACAUUGGAGUGACUAAUAGACCCUUGGUUUAUCCCCAGAAUCGACGCAUACUGAAACAUGCUUGAAAUAUGCUUUUAUACUUUUUGAUUUUGCAAAGGAUGCAAUGGGAUAGAGGGGAAGGAGAAGGAAAAAGAUUAAAAAUCAGUUUAGUAUUUCUCUUGCAAUCCAUUCGGAGGAGUUCCCACUGAGACUUCGUAUGCCUCCCCCUCUCUGCAGCCAUAGCUAAUAAGAUCUAAGAGGAAAAAUAAGUAGUAACACUGGGUAGCCUGUUUUGACUCUCACGUACGCUAUUUGGAAAUUAAAGCACACUUAUG
This 375-nucleotide long non-coding RNA is filed under the name Canis lupus familiaris (dog). Its description in RNAcentral is "lncRNA (ENSCAFG00040015015.1)". Lineage: Eukaryota; Metazoa; Chordata; Mammalia; Carnivora; Canidae. The record is from RNAcentral.